AAAAGAGGAAGAAACUAAGGCCGAGGGUGAAUUUCUGCUAUUGGCUUCUCUCUUGGGAGCUGCGGUGUUCUCAACGUCAGUUUCCUGGGUCAUGAAGGACCCCUGGUUUGCCCAUGCUUUGUUUCAAAUUCUUUCGCCCAUAAGCAGUAGACACCUUUCUUCAUCCUUUUAGCUGUUCCUCACUAGGCUACCACUGGCCAGACAUCUUAAACUUUCUCACUGAGGCUGGGGCUCCGGAGUCUCCGGGGUUCUUGUCGUUACCCUGGCUGCAACACAGGUGUCCCUCAGAGAGCUGGGGCACCAGAGCUGAUGAGAAAUCAAAAAACUUUCGCUCGCCCUAAGCAUCUGCGGUCAGUCUAAACCAGAGAUAGGAGUCUUUGCAGCAACACACGCACGUUUUGUCCUGGGCUCUGCCCCCAUCCCGCUGCACACACCCUGGGAGCCACCUUUCGGCAGAACAUCCCUCCCCCCGCACCCGUUACUAUCCUCAAGUCCGGCAAUCGGGGCGGGAGGGCUCCCGGUGCGCCUCUGGCUCGCGCGGCCUCCGCCCGAGCUGCGUGGCCGCGUGCGCACCGGGCGCUCGAGUCUCCGAGCAUGGCAGAUUUCCACCGGAUGACAUCAUGGGAGCGAGUGAGUGCCGGCUCUACCCGGGGCGGGGNNNNNNNNNNNNNNNNNNNNNNNNNNNNNNNNNNNNNNNNNNNNNNNNNNNNNNGAGAGGCUGCGAAGCAGAGCCAGAGCUGCUGCCUGGGGCCGGCUGUCUGUCCGCCAGCCGGGGAGGAGCGCUCCGGCCGCCGCUGACAAAGGAUGGGAGGAUGCCUGCACCCCGGGAUUCGGGCUGCGCGAAGCCCGGCGGUCGCCUGAGCGGCUUCGUUUCCCUCCGCUGCUGGACAGACGUCCUGAACCACAGCAUCUCUGGCCAUGGGACAUUUACACCUCCUCUUUGCUCUGCUUCUUGGUUCGCUCUACAUGAACGGACUUAUAUCUGGGGUAAGUGUAUAUUAAAAAGUUUCUAACUUGAAAAUUCACCUCUUCUAGAGACAAUUUCCCCUGUGCCACCAUAUGUAUAAGGUAAGUGUGGGAUCUGGCUGUGACAGGGUGACUGUAUACAAGUCCAUGGAUAUUGAAUAGAGGUGUUGAAGCUCUUCCACCUGUGAAAACUUAUUUAACCAUCAAUGGAAUAUUUGUGUUGUUGGUUAGAGACAUUACCAGCAAUGGUAGAUAUAGAAAAAUGUGACUUUCCUUCCCAAGCCAGUGAGCCCCAGCCUCCUGGGGUGAGGAGCUUAUGUGUCACUAUUGAUUUUGUGAUCCUGGUCUUAAGUCAUAAAACAACAACAGCACCAGCAGCAACAAAACCAGUGUUACUGCUGAUUACUUUUAUAGCCACACCCACGGAACAUAGAAGUACCCAAGUUAGGGGUCAAAUUGGAGCUGAAGCUAUAGGCCUAUGCUAUGCAAUGGCAACACCAGAUCUGAGCCACAUCCACAAACUAUGUCACAGCUCAUGGCAAUGACAGUUCCUUAACCCACUGAGUGGGGCAGGCAUCAAACCUGAAUCCUCAUGGACAUAAUGUUGGGUCCAUAACCUGCUGAGCCACAACAGGAACUAGGAAACCUAUUUUUUGAGAAUUUCUAAAUGGUUCUUGAGAUGAUUAUAUCUAAUUAUACAGAACCAAGGCUGGAAAUUUCUAGUUAAGAGACUCCUACUUUAUGUUGAGAUACCAGGCAGAUUCUCUCUUUUAAUUGAUACAGUGUGUGUGUGUGUGUGUGUGUGUGUGUGUGUGUGUGUGUGUGAGAGAGAGAGAGAGAGAGAGAGAGAGAUGUUUGGUUUUCUGAUUUAUCCUUAAUUCCUCCUCAUUCUAUACACUCUCUUUAUCUAACCAGUUAUCAAGUGCUACUAACUCAAAAUACCUGUCCUGCUCUUCCCCUUUUCCCUUGGUUUGGGAAGGGAAACCAUUUCAUUUCUUUAGCAAAUGCUGCAGCUCACCCCCUGCUUUUCUUCCUCCUACUCUUUCUCUUUUCUCUUACGAGACCUUUCUUGAUGGUGAAACAUUUCUUUUUUUUUUUAAUGGCCACACCUGAGGCAUAUGGAAGUUCCUGGGCCAGGGUUUGAAUCUGAGCUGCAGCUACGGUGCUGGGACAACACUGGAUCCUUUAACCCACUGCACCUGGGUGGGGGAUCAACCCCCCCACCUCCUCAGUGACCUGAGCCACUGCUGUUGGAUUCUUAGCCCACUGUGCCACAGCAGAAACUCCAUGGGACAUUUGUUCUUAAAAAUUCCGGUUCCUCCUUCUCAGAGGAAGAACUGAUAUUCAAAGAUACAGUCUCAAGUUGUUUAAAAACUUAAAACCUAAUCAGUGGUUCUACCUUACUGGCAGCUAUUUCUCUUUUGCAGUCUUUUACUCUCACAAUACUGAAUAUAGCAUAGUUGAAAUAAAAUCUUUUUUUUUCUUCUGUGACUUUUCACAUGUUCCCUGUGUGAAUUGUCCUUCAGUGCCCUCUAUGACAUAAUAGGUAUUUGUUUCCACAUCUUUAAAAACUCUUGUAAUUACUUUAACAUAUGCAUACCUCCCCUACUAGUCUGUACAUUUCUUGAGACCCAGAAUCAUGAGAUAUUUUGCUUGUGUUCACAGUUUCUGUGACAGUGCUAUGCAUGUCCCGUAGACAUUCAAAACAAAUUGAAUUGAAAAUCAAUAAUACAUGCAAUGGAUCUGUUUUAUUUGUUGUGUGUAUCUGCUUGAAAAUAUUCUUGAUUUGAGAAGACUUCAAAGAGAAGACAGAUGAAGAGGACUGGUAAGGGGAGGGGGAAAGAAAGUUAGAAAACGUUAGGAACCAAUAUGGUCUAGAGUUGGGACUGCGCAUAGAUUCUACUGGAGCAUUGUGUCUGGUGGGAUUGGCUGUGCUGGAGUCACAUGUGGGGAGAACGUGGGUCUGUGGCGGGAUUCAGAAAGAAUCGGAUACAGUUGAUUUCUGAUACUGCUGGGGGACAGGAGGAAGGCUGAAGCCUGAGCUUUGAAUUUGUUGAGCAGCAUCUGGAGAAGUAGCUCCCAAUCAUUCUGUCUUGUUGUUAAACAUGUAUUAACAUGGGAAAUUUACAAGUUUGGAUCAAGGCACAAGUAAGAUACUUUUCAUACUUCCCCCUUUCCUGUCUCUUAGAUUCUCAUAAUUGAUUGUGACACCAGAGUGUCCUGACGUCUGGUUGAGAAUGUCUGGUCUUCCCCAGUGGUUCCCAACCACGGAUCUUAGUUUCCGGAGGGGCCUUGCAAGUGUCCUUCAUGUCUAUUAGCACAAGAAACAUUCUCUUAAUUUUUAAAAAAUGUCCUUCCAUUACAUAUACACUAAUUUUAAAGUGCAUGUUUCAGAGUUGUGAUUCUUAAUAAAAAUUAAAUUUAUGUAAACAAAUGUAUGGUAUCUUCUUGUCAUUAUGGCUUUUUUUUUGAUUAAUGGCCACUAAAAUAUUCUACUAUCAUAUAGGAAAACAUGAUUUUUUUUCCUUUUCAAAUGGUUUCUUAUACUCAGAGACAAUGGAAAUAAUUGGUUAAGACAAGACAGUGAACCACAUUUGACCUUCACAGGUGUUGGUAAAGAAAAGUGACACGAUGGCUGAAUGAUUGGCUAGGAGAAAGAAUUAACAUACAGUAUUCUAAAUUUUACAAGAUUAGUAGAUUUUAGGUAGGGGUGACAUUGUAGAGCAACACAUAUAAAAGACAGUUUGCAAGUAGAGUUUGAAAUGAUUACAGAAUACGCACAUUUCUGAUUUUAUUAUGAAAACAUAUAUUGAAAAAUUCAGGUAUAUUGAUAUUAGCGUGAAUUCAUUGCCACCGUUUUUCAUUGAUUCUAAGAUGCACAUGUAUUUUAAUAUUUCUGACACUGAUGUGCAAACUUGCAGUUGCUGUUGGCCAGUUGAAAGUUGAGGUACAGUUUUUAUUGCCUUUACAUGGAUAGACUGAGUUAUGGUGAGUGUCACUCCCUGAUGACAUUACAGUACAACCUAACAAAUCAUUUCAAAGCCAUUUCAGGGGGAAAAUAUCCCCGUGUGUUAUCUGAAAACUGAUUAUUGACAUCUUCUAGUAAGAUCAAGAAAGUAUCAUCAUCAGCACCUCUAGUGUGGGUAUAAGAAGCUUGGAGACAACACUGGAACUCUCUUUUAAGGACUAUUACUUCACUGAUUUCUGUGGUAGAAGAGAGGAUCUUUCUGUAUGAAAGAAAAUUAAAAAGGUCAAUCACAUUGAAUUGUAAAAUGUUUCAGAGAAUUUAGACUCUGAAUAUGAACAAAUUUUAGAAAUAAUCUUUAUUAUUUCACAUUUAUUUUUCCGGAGGAAUUGGUAGAAGCCUGUGUAUAAGUAGGUCUAAAAAAAGCCUUUUCAAUAAAAAUAAAAGAAAUAUUCUAAGUGAUAAAUUACAAGGCCAAAGUUUAAAAAAAAUUUUUAUUAUAGUUGAUUUACAUUGUUCUGUCAAUUUCUGCUGUAUGGUAAAGUGACCCAGUCAUGCAUCUACACACACUGUCUCAUAUUAUCUUUCAUCACAAGUGAUUAGACAUAGUACUCUGUGCUUUAAAAUAUGAAGGAAUAACAAGGUCAAAGUUUUAAAUAGCAGACGUAGAUUUUUAUUCCGUAGUGACUUUUCACAUUGACAGCACUUUAAAUUUAUUUAUUUAUUUUUAAUUUUUAAUUUCCCCAAUAUGUUAUUAUGUUUUUUUUUUCCUACUGUACAGCAUGGUGACCCAGUUACACAUACAUGUAUAUAUUUUUUCCUCACAUUAUCAGGCUCCAUCAUAAGUGACUGGACAUACUUCCCAGUGCUACACAGCAGGAUCUCAUUGCUAAUCCAUUCCAAAGGCAAUAGUCUGCAACUAUUAACUCCAAGAUCCCAAUCCAUCUCACUCCCUCCCCCUCCCCCUUGGCAACCACAAGUCUAUUCUCCAAGUCCAUGAGUUUCUUUUUCUGUGGACAGGUUCUUUUGUGCCGUAUAUUAGAUUCCAGAUAUAAGCAAUAAUCAUAUGGUAUUUGUCUUUCUGACUUAGUUCACUCUGUAUGAGAGUCUCUAUUUCCAUCCAUGUUGUGCAAAUGGCAUUAAUUUGUUCUUUUUUAUUGCUGAGUAGUAUUCCACUGCAUAUAUAUACACCACUUCUUCCUAAUCCAAUCAUCUGCCAGUGGACAUUUGGGUUGUUUCCAUAUCUUGGCUAUUGUGAAUAGAGCUGCAGUGAACAUGCAGGUUCAUGUGUCUUUUUCAAGGAAAGUUUUGUCUGGGUAUAUACGCAAGAGUGGGAUUGUGGGGUCAUAUGUUAGUUCUAUGUAUAGAUUUCUAAGGUAUCUCCAUACUGUUCCCAUAGUGGUUGUACCAGCUUCCAUUCCCACAAACAGUGCAGGAGGGUUCCCUUUUCUCCACACCCCCUCCAGCAUUUGUUAUUUGUGGACUUAUGAAUGAUGGCCAUUCUGACUGGUGUGAGGUGGUAUCUUGUGGUAGUUUUGACUUGCAUUUCUCUAAUAGUCAGUGAUGUUGAGCAUUUUUUCAUGUGCUUGUCGGCUAUCUGUAUAUCUUCCUUGGAGAACUGUCUAUUCAGGUCUUUUGCUCAUUUUUCCAUUGGGUUGUUGGCUUUUUUGCUAUUGAGUUAUAUAAGUUGUUUGUAUAUUUUAGAGAUUAAGCCCUUGUCAGUUGCAUCAUUUGAAACUAUUUUCUCCCAUUCUGUAAGUUUCUUUUUGAAAACAAACAAAAAAGGCAAUUUAUUUAGUUGGCACUAUAUAAACCAGAAUCACUCUUAGCUGGUGCUUUAGCAAAGUCUAUAGUACAUAAUUGUAGUACCUAAAAUUAUCAUUCAAAUACCUGAAGAAUAAAAUACAUCUAAAUAGUCUCUGAAUUAUUAAGGAAAUAUGGAGUUAAGUUCAAAUAAAUGAUAAUUGUAUUUUAUUGCAUUUAAAAUGGUAAUCCAGACAUUUACAAAUCAGAUAAUUUUGUUACUAAAAGAGUGAUUCUGGCAGUUCCUGUCAUGGCACAGCUGAAGCGAAUCUGACUAGGAACCAUGAGGUUGCAGGUUCGAUCCCUGGCCUUGCUCAGUGGGUUAAGGGUAUGGGGUUGCUGUGAGCUGUGGUAUAGGUCACCGAUGCCACUUGCAUCUGGUAUUGCUGUGGCUGUGAUGUAGGCUGGCUGAUGUAGCUCCAAUUUGACCCCUAGCCUGGGAACCUCCAUAUGCUGCAGGUGUGGCCCU
Molecule: long non-coding RNA, 6203 nt
Filed under: Sus scrofa (pig)
Lineage: Eukaryota; Metazoa; Chordata; Mammalia; Artiodactyla; Suidae
Description: lncRNA (ENSSSCG00015051610.1)
Source: RNAcentral